This 72-nucleotide transfer RNA is filed under the name Gaeumannomyces tritici R3-111a-1. Its description in RNAcentral is "tRNA-Gln (TTG) (tRNA-Gln-TTG-3-1)". It matches the Rfam family "tRNA". Rfam says of the family: Transfer RNA (tRNA) molecules are approximately 80 nucleotides in length. Their secondary structure includes four short double-helical elements and three loops (D, anti-codon, and T loops). Lineage: Eukaryota; Fungi; Ascomycota; Sordariomycetes; Magnaporthales; Magnaporthaceae. The record is from Rfam by way of RNAcentral.
GGUUGUAUGGCGCAAUGGCAGCGCGCUCGUUUUUGUAACGGGAAAACCUGGGUUUAAUUCCCGGUGCGACUU